UUUCUCUCAAUAUUACCUGUAUAGGUGUGUUGGUGCUUUUUGUUUUGAAGAAAAAACAUCCAUUUCCUUCAUGUUCCAAGCCUUAUUUGAGAAAACUUCUUGAAUUACAAACCUUUGCCUCUCCUUUGUGAAGCUUUUGAUUGAGAAUUUAUUUCAGGUAAACUAAAUUAGGGCUCCUUUCUCAAUAUAUAAAAAACGUUAGGGUUUUUCCUCCAAAAAAAAAGGGUUAGGG
RNAcentral lists this long non-coding RNA (232 nucleotides) under Medicago truncatula (barrel medic). Its description in RNAcentral is "long non-coding RNA (MTRU_LNC001585)". The record is from RNAcentral. Lineage: Eukaryota; Viridiplantae; Streptophyta; Magnoliopsida; Fabales; Fabaceae.